UGGCCAUGAGCUCCGAGGGCUGGAACAGAGACAGGAUCUCCCCCCCGCACACCUUCAGGAAACCAGAGGAGAAGGCCGAGUACUGUUCACUCACCGAGUCUGAGAACACGUAACGCAGAUCAGAACCAGACUCCAUGGUGUGACCCCCGACACACACACAUAUCGUCCUGCUGCUGUAAACACUCCCAGGUGUAAAAAAAAAAUACUCAGUGACCUGGCCUCGGUGGGGGAGAGCUCUUUGAAGUCCUCCAGCAUCGGUGACACAUCCAGCAGCUUCUUGUAGAGAGCCAGAGGGAAGUGAAGGUCCACCACUGUGGAGUUAUA
Lates calcarifer (barramundi perch) is the source of this 324-nucleotide long non-coding RNA. RefSeq lists it as uncharacterized. NCBI's taxonomy places the organism in Eukaryota, Metazoa, Chordata, Actinopteri, Centropomidae. The record is from RefSeq and is a predicted model, not a curated record. The transcript is spliced from 3 exons.